Molecule: ribosomal RNA, 253 nt
Filed under: uncultured bacterium
Lineage: Bacteria
Description: partial 16S ribosomal RNA
Rfam family: Bacterial small subunit ribosomal RNA
Source: RNAcentral
UACAUAGGGGGCAAGCGUUGUUCGGAAUUACUGGGCGUAAAGGGCGCGUAGGCGGCCACCUAAGUCAGACGUGAAAUCCCUCGGCUUAACCGGGGAACUGCGUCUGAUACUGGUUGGCUUGAGUUUGGGAGAGGGACGCGGAAUUCCAGGUGUAGCGGUGAAAUCCGUAGAUAUCGGGAGGAAUACCAGUGGCGAAGGCGGCCAUCUGGACGGUGACUGACGCUGAGACGCGAAAGCGUGGGGAGCAAACAGG